RNAcentral lists this ribosomal RNA (941 nucleotides) under Globisporangium abappressorium. RNAcentral describes it as "eukaryotic LSU rRNA". The stretch from base 278 to 432 matches the Rfam family "5.8S ribosomal RNA". The record is from RNAcentral. Lineage: Eukaryota; Oomycota; Peronosporomycetes; Pythiales; Pythiaceae.
CGUGAACUGUCUGUAUUUGUUUUGUGUCUGCGCGUUGCUGUGCGUGCGUGCGUUUGCUUGCGCUUCGGUGUUGGCGAGAGUGCGUGCUGUGGCGGUGCGCGGACUGAACGAAGGUUGUGUUGUUGUGCGUCUGCGGAUUUGCUGUGCUUUACUUUUUUGUAUCGCGUGGCGGGUGUUGCGGGUGCUAUUCGACCGGCUGACUUAUCUUUUUCAAACCCCAUACCUAACUUACUGAUUAAUACUGUGAGAACGAAAGUUCUUGCUUUUACUAGAUAACAACUUUCAGCAGUGGAUGUCUAGGCUCGCACAUCGAUGAAGAACGCUGCGAACUGCGAUACGUAAUGCGAAUUGCAGAAUUCAGUGAGUCAUCGAAAUUUUGAACGCAUAUUGCACUUCCGGGUUAUGCCUGGAAGUAUGUCUGUAUCAGUGUCCGUAAAUCAAACUUGCCUUUCUUCCUUCCGUGUAGUCGGUGGAGGAGAGUUUGCAGAUGUGAAGUGUCUCGCAGCGGUUGGUAUAUUCUCGUUUAUGCACAACUUGCGAGUCCUUUUAAAUGGACACGACUUUCUCUUUUUUGUAUCUGCGCGGUGCUGUGCGUGAACGCGGCGGUUUUCGGAUCGCUCGCGGCUGUCGGCGACUUCGGUGAAUGCAUGAUGGAGUGGACCUCGAUUCGCGGUAUGUUGGGCUUCGGCUGGACAAUGUUGCUUAUUGGGUGUCUGUUCCGCGUUCGCCUUGAGGUGUACUGGUGGCUGUGGGUUUGAACUGGUUUCUGUUGUUAGUAGUGCGCGGCUCCAUGUCGUGGGUUGCAUCUGUCUGUUUGUGCGCGCUUCUUUUUGUUGUUGUGUGCAGAGUUGGCAGAAGAGGAGUUUGAAUUUGGGAAAUUAGUGUACUGCGUGUAUAUCUCAAUUGGACCUGAUAUCAGACAAGACUACCCGCUGAACUUA